GACCGUAGUCUACAUACUACAUCUAACUG
RNAcentral lists this non-coding RNA (29 nucleotides) under Rattus norvegicus (Norway rat). The record is from RNAcentral. Lineage: Eukaryota; Metazoa; Chordata; Mammalia; Rodentia; Muridae.